Molecule: long non-coding RNA, 626 nt
Organism: Oncorhynchus tshawytscha (Chinook salmon)
Lineage: Eukaryota; Metazoa; Chordata; Actinopteri; Salmoniformes; Salmonidae
Source: Ensembl
ACGGGACAGUAGAGGACAGUACAGUAGGGGACGGGACAGUAGGGGACGGGACAGUAGAGGACGGGACAGUAGGGGACGGGACAGUAGAGGAUGGGACAGGACAGUAGAGGAUGGGACAGUAGGGGACGGGACAGUAGAGGAUGGGACAUUAGAGGACGGGACAGUAGGGGACGGUACAGUAGAGGAUGGGACAGUAGAGGACGGGACAGUAGAGGACAGGACAGUAGUGGACAGGACAGUAGGGGACGGGACAGUAGAGGACGGGACAGUAGGGGACGGGACAGUAGAGGAUGGGACAGUAGGGGACGGGACAGUAGAGAAUGGGACAGUAGAGGACGGGACAGUAGAGGACGGGACAGUAGGGGAAGGGACAGUAGAGGACGGGACAGUAGAGGAUGGGACAGGACAGUAGAGGACGGGACAGUAGAGGACGGGACAGUAGAGGACGGGACAGUAGGGGACGGGACAGUAGAGGAUGGGACAGUAGAGGACAGGACAGUAGAGGACGGGACAGUAGAGGACAGGACAGUAGAGGACUGGAAAGUAGAGGACGGGACAGUAGAGGAUGGGACAGGGCAAUAGAGGACACGGGACAGUAGAGGACGGGACAGUAGAGGACAGGACAG